CNCGNNAAACCUUACCUGGCCUUGACAUGUACCGAAUUGAGCAGAGAUGUUCAAGUGCUCGAAAGAGAACGGUAACACAGGUGCUGCAUGGCUGUCGUCAGCUCGUGUCGUGAGAUGUUGGGUUAAGUCCCGCAACGAGCGCAACCCUUGCCAUUAAUCGCCAUCAUUUAGUUGGGCACUUUAAUGGGACUGCCGGUGACAAACCGGAGGAAGGUGGGGAUGACGUCAAGUCCUCAUGGCCCUUAUGGCCAGGGCUUCACACGUAAUACAAUGGUCGGUACAGAGGGUUGCCAACCCGCGAGGGGGAGCCAAUCCCAGAAAGCCGAUCGUAGUCCGGAUUGUAGUCUGCAACUCGACUGCAUGAAGUCGGAAUCGCUAGUAAUCGCGGAUCAGCAUGUCGCGGUGAAUACGUUCCCGGGCCUUGUACACACCGCCCGUCACACCAUGGGAGUGGGUUUUACCAGAAGUAGUUAGUCUAACCGCAAGGAA
RNAcentral lists this ribosomal RNA (489 nucleotides) under uncultured bacterium. Its description in RNAcentral is "bacterial SSU rRNA". It matches the Rfam family "Bacterial small subunit ribosomal RNA", at positions 960 to 1448 of the family's 1533-position model. The record is from RNAcentral.